ACUUCAUCCCCACUUCUGACAUAAAGCUGCUCAGCAUUAACGCCACGAAGUGCUUGGUGAAAAUGUCGCAGACUAGUCUAACUUUCAUGGUUAUUUGUUAAAUCGUUGUGUCCAACGUUACUUCAAGCUACAAGAGAAUAUUCACUAAUCCUGAGAUUUGGAGUAAAUAUAGAGUCCCAUCCAUCAUUUGUUCUUCCUACACCUGUUAAAGUAUA
This 215-nucleotide long non-coding RNA is filed under the name Elaeis guineensis (African oil palm). RNAcentral's name for it is "long non-coding RNA (EGUI_LNC063538)". The record is from RNAcentral. Lineage: Eukaryota; Viridiplantae; Streptophyta; Magnoliopsida; Arecales; Arecaceae.